This is a long non-coding RNA of Danio rerio (zebrafish), 1968 nucleotides long. Lineage: Eukaryota; Metazoa; Chordata; Actinopteri; Cypriniformes; Danionidae. The record is from Ensembl.
CGACGCUGGAUCCUCUCAACGGCUGCCAUCGAACAGCAGAAGAUAAGGUAAGCUCAAUUUAAGGCAGAGUCUGUGUAUGUGGACACUCACUAUUUGACCCUUUCUUCAGUUUCUCUUGUCUGUCCUCCACAAGCAGAGACUCACUGAUAGACAGCUGUUACCCAUUCUAGGCCUAACACAUCCAAACACGACCACACCGCAAGUGUAUCCUUUACAGAUCAAGGAGGAGUUCAGACGCAUCACAAUGGUUUCCUUGGAGGAGACAUUCCUGCGGAAGCUUGAUGAGUACACACCUGGUCUUUUGCGGCUAAUGCGUGCCAAAGGAGGAGCAGCUGGUUGCAAGAUGCGUCCUCUGCUGGACAGUUUAAAUACACAGAACAUUGAGGAAAAAAGAGAUGCUGUUGUCUGCUGCCUCAUUAACUACCUCGGUGAAAGACAAGAAGAUCUUUUCCAUGAAUGGCAGGAAUGUGAGGAGUACACAGACAAAACAAUGAAGGUGAUUGUGAAGCACAAUGUCAUGGCUGAGGAGGACGAUUUGUCUAUUGUGAUCGAGGGAAACCAAGUGAUGGAAGGAUGUGGAAGCCGAACAAAGGCAUGCAUACUGCUGAUGGGACUCAUAUAUGCAAUCAACAUUGAAUAUCCAAAGGAGCUGAAGAACACAUUUGAAGCUUUUCAAAAACUUUUUUUGGAAAUUGAUGGGGCAAAACUUCUGAAGAAAGUCCACAGCCUCAAAAAUAAGCUUAUGAAGUAGACAUUUCUCUCCUUGUUUAAAGGGGAUUCUUUGUUUGGACAUACCUUGAUGGAGUUGUAAUGGACUGUUUUAUAUUUUUCUUCUCUUCCCUCAUUUGCUCCACAUACAGACACAGACCCAUCCACUGUUUCUCAGCCCUCUCCAUUGCUCUGUGUUUUCCCCCAUAUUGACAGAAAAGGAAUACUAAUAGAUAGUGGCCUGAACAAUUUUGAUCUCACCUACCCUCUUCCCCAUUUGUUUGCUUAUUUCAUUCUGAUCCUAUCUGCGAGAGUGAGAGUAAGGACAAAAAAAAAAAAUGAUGGUAUUUUGUUUUUCUUUUAUCUUUUUUUAUAUUUAAUACUGUACAUGCACAGAAAAACGAGGUUGUGUGUGUGGUUUUGCCUUUUAAAAUAUAAUAAGUGGCCUCUGAAAGAGUUGUAUGCGAGUAGCCAAUUAUUCAGAAACAACAUUUGAAAAUUAUCUUAGUGAGCUAUAAAACAGGUUUAUUUGUUCAUUAUUGUGUGAAGCUGUUGCACUUUAUUUAGCACUUUAUUCUGUGUUUUUAGAUACAAGAAAAUCUUGAUGUGAUUGAUCAUUCAGCACUGCUCUGAUUUCCUCACUUCUUUUUUAUUUUCCUUUUUUUGCUCCCCUCUCUCCUCACUUUUCUUUUCUUCUCUGAUCUAGAUGUGUUUUAUUAUCCAACAUUAUUGAAACAACAUUUGAAACUGUUGUCUUAAUGAGUUAUAAAACAGGUUUAUUUGUUCAUUGUUGUGUGAAGCUGUUGUACUUUAUUUAGCACUUUAUUCUGUGUGUUUUGAUAAUUUGGUGCAUCAGUGCUGCAUAUAAGCAAGACUGUUCAGUUAUUUUGUUUUAUGAAUGUAUAUGGAUAACAGACCACUGGUCAGUUACUGUUGUGUAAAUCUGAAAAGACACAAGUUUAGUCUAAGAGUUUAGAUAAAAGAAAAUCUUGAUGUGAUUGGACAUCCAGCUCUGCUCUAAUCUCCUCACUUCUCCUUUUUUUCUCCUUUUUUUUUUCCUUUUCUUUGCUUACUUCUUUUCUGCUCUGAUCUGGAUGUCCUAAAACAGGGAAAUGUUUUAUUAUCCAACAUUAUUGAAAUAUUUGAUAGAUCAGCGAGUUAUAAAACAUGUUCAUUACUUGAAAUGUUGUGUAAUGCUGUUGUGCUGCACUUUAUUUUAAGUGCGUUUUCUGAUUUUUUGGAAUAAAAACAUUGAGUUGA